RNAcentral lists this ribosomal RNA (336 nucleotides) under Triticum aestivum (bread wheat). RNAcentral describes it as "partial small subunit ribosomal RNA". The record is from RNAcentral. Lineage: Eukaryota; Viridiplantae; Streptophyta; Magnoliopsida; Poales; Poaceae.
AUGGGCCUCCAACACCAAGACGGUGACAAGAAGGUCGAGCAAGGGCCAUCCCCUUCGACCACGGCGAUAGGAGUUGAGCAUGGAGACAUUUGCACCUACAUCUCUCCGACACCCACAAAUGUCGAGAUGCCCCAAGUGCCAUGUGAGGAGAGCCACCACCCCAUGAGUGACAUGAGUGACUCCACCAUACGUGACAUUGAGAGCAUUUCCUAUGAGAGGAUGAGUGUGACCACCACUAGCCCCACACAUGAGAGCAUGGCACACAUCCUAUGUGAGGUUGAGCGCCAUUCGAGUGACUCCACCAACCAUAUGAGUGAGAGCAUUUUGAGGAAGUGA